ACUCCUUUAUUGUAAAUAGGGAGGUCUCGCUUCAGGUGCUAACCCGCUCCCCGCGAAACGACGUGACCACAUUUUCACCAGUGUGUCGGGUAGUUCAAUUAUUUCAACAAUAUCGUCGCGUUUUGUAAUUCCAAACCCAACGAAGCGACGCACAAAGUAAGAAUUUCUUCAUUUGUACUUUCGCCAGAGGAGGAGGGAAGACACAUAGAAUGAGGAUGUUGAAGAAGAAAAAAAGAAGGUUCCACAUGAUGUUUGGCAACAUCAACCAAUCUUUCAUUCCAUUCAUUUGGGAAACCAGACAUGACAUCAAACAGUCUGCAGCAAUUAUUAAAUGCAUCAUUUGAAACAUGAUGUCAGAAGUGUGAAGCUGAAAUUGAGUGAAUUCUCAGAGCUGGAGGCCACUGUAAGGAAAACAACGAGGAAGAAAUAAAACUACAAUCAGCAACCUUGAAUUAUAGAGUGGAUCUGUAUGGUCAUAAACUUUCCACUCUCUGCUGCUAUGAAAAUAAAAGAAGUGACAUAUGAAAUAGAAUUGAACUUUCUUUCACUCUGUGCUAAAACUGUGAAAUAGCUUUGAAAUUUAAUA
Molecule: long non-coding RNA, 586 nt
Organism: Stegostoma tigrinum
Lineage: Eukaryota; Metazoa; Chordata; Chondrichthyes; Orectolobiformes; Stegostomatidae
Exons: 3
Source: RefSeq, a predicted model, not a curated record